CCGGCCAUAGCAAGAACAAAGAGAGGAAAAGAAGAACAAGAACCCUAAGUAGAAAAAUUGAAGAAAAAGUGUGGGAUUUCAAGGGAUUAAGCUAAUAAAGGUAAAAAUCCUUGAUUUUAUCUUGUGAUUUACAUUACCCAUGCUUUCUUUUUCAUUUUCCAUGCUUAGAACUCAAGAUUUCAUGAGGACACCCUUGCUGGUCGAACACCUAGGAGAGAGAAUUUGAUGAUGUUUUGGUUAGAUUCUAAGAUAUUCUAGUGUUUUUAGUUAGUUAGUGAUGUGUAGCAUAAAAAGCCAACAAGAAAAAUUCAUUUUCUCCCAUUACCCAUCAUUGACUGAAUUUUCUAGGGAGGAUAUUGAGGCUGAAAUUGAUGAUAUUUCAUGAUAUUUUGGUGGUGUUUAAUGAUUGGUGAGGCUAGAAAUUUAAUGGGAAAUUUUGGCAUGAAAAUCUAAAUUUUUACCUAAUGGAUAGGCAUGUGCGAUUUAUGAUUUAGACUGAUAAAUUGAAUCGUAUUCACAGUCAUGGAGGUAUUUUAAGUAUAAUUGGAGUGUAGAAAGUGAAAGAAAUCGAUUUAGAGUUAAAUUAGAGGUUUUAGCCAAUUACACCGAGAAUAGUACGAAUUAGGUCGAGUACCGUAUUUAAACGACUAUUCGAACAUUUUGCAUCACAUUUCGUGCAUUCAUAUAGAUUUAUAGAGCCUAAAAUAGUUUAUGAUAAAUUGACACAAUUUAUUGAAAUUCGUGUCAUGUAUGACGUAUAGGUGGUGAGCCCUCUAACAAGGGUAAAGAGAUUGUGCCCGAAGACCAGAAAUAGGAGUAUAUCGAACUCCUAGUACAGUGAGUAACCUUACUAUCAUUUUAAUUAUCUAAAGUAUGUUUUUAUUCAGUUUUGGUGAAAUUUUAUGAAAAUGAGUUUAAAUGGUAAAUCUUUGUGUUUUACAAACAAAAUGUGUUUACAGGAAACGAUUUUAUAAAUUUUCUUGAAAUUGAAUAAUAAUUUUGAAAAAUAGAGUAGUUGGAGACCACUUGUUAUGUUGUAAAUUUAUUAUUUGAAUCGAAUGGCUUAUGACAAUAUUUGCAUGAAUGACUGAAUUGGUAUUUGUAUUGAAAUGUAUAAACUGUUGUUUGCCUUGAAAGGCUGUGAAUUAAAAUAAUUGCCAUGUCAUGCUAUUGUAAAUUUUAUUGAAUUAGUGGAUUAUAUAUUAAUUAAUCACUGCAGUAUGGGGUUUUUGUGGACCAGCCUUUUAGAGGGGCACGGUAAACUCCAUUAUUUCUUACCUCGAUCGGAGAGGCACAUAGGGGAUCUCUCGAGGUACAGUUUAGGGUUCACUUCACGCUAAACCACCACGUGAGAGAGAACUCAGCCAACGCCAAGGAACGAUUGUGAUGUCCAACGAAAAAUGUGUUUUAUGCGAAAUAUGAAUUUUUAACAGCCUUGGCAGACUAGGUUGGAUGCCCUACACAAGGUAUCAUCAAGUAUGAGUUUUGGCAUGAGCCAAAGUUUUAAGAAAUUCAUUAGCCAAGUUUAUUACUCGAUUUAUAUGAAUUGAUUUUAUUUGGUUGAAAUGAGUUGAAAGGUAAUGAAAUUAUAGUAUGAUGACUUACUUUAAUUGUCUCCAUUUACUCAACUUUAGAUAGUUUAGAUGGUAUCUGUUUACUCACUGGGAUUUUAUAAUUCACCACCCUCCUUUUCAACCAUUUCAGGGCUAAGGUAGCUUGUGGAUAGCAGCUAUCGUUAAGGAUUAUAGUCGGCUUUAUUACUCCAAAAACUGUAGGUUUACUGCCUUUGUGCACUUUUGUUCCUUGUGGGCCCACGAGUCACUGUAAAGUAAAUUUUAUAUUCUGGUUAUCUAUAUUAUAGUACGUAUGAAUUUAUUUAGCUUUUACAUUACAAAAAUUAUUUAUUGAUGACUCUAUAAAUAUUAUUUUACAAGAAAUUAGAAUAUUUUAUUGAAUAUUUUAUUUUAUUCAAAUAGUUGCAAUAUCAUUUUUAAUAAAUGUUUAGACACCCAACUUUAUUUUAAAUCAUGAAAUAUGUGUUUUAUACUCAUCUACUACAUUUUUAGUUGGGAUCGGAAAAUUUUGAGAAAAAAUGAUGAAAACGCCCUUGUGAGGCGAAAAUUAUUUUUCCAUGGUUUUGAAGGGGAAAAAGCUUAAAAUUCUUUAAAAACGAGGUUUGGCGAUGAUUACUCACAGGGGAGUCGAGAAAAUGGUACUAAAGCCUUACGGGGUUCCGAUUGGCAUUUCGGAUAACGAAUGUCUACUGGGACGUCGCGGCGGUUAUCACGGGCUCGAAGGGAGUACUGGGUCAUGACAAUUAGAUUGGUAUCAGAGCUUUUGGUUUUAAAGUUGUUUUAAAGUUUAUAGUGUCAGUGUGGCCCAAGUUAAGUUAGGUUUGAUAGAAUAGAAUACGUGCAUCUGCAUACAGAAUUUGGAGUUGUUAAGACUCGUUUUGUUUCUUCUUAUAGAUCUUGUGGGAGUAUAAGUCAUAGACAGGGAGCUAUAUGAACUCUUGUUCCCAAUAAUCCAGUUCCUUGUUAAUGUCAUGUAAAGGUCAUAAGUAGGGUCGUUGUCCGGGUUUAAGAUGCCACUUGUGACACGUGCGAGUGUUGGAGAAAUCUUCCAACGAAUGCUCCUAAUGAAAGAUUAAUGAAAUGAUAUAUCCCUCCGAUUAAGGAUGGAGAAAUCUGGAGUUGGACUAAUAGGUCGUGAUAAUUUAUUCAUUUGGUGCAGUUAUAAUUGAACUCAUGUUUGUCAAUUAGAAAAAGAUUUGGGGACUAUGGAUUGUAUUGGAAUUAAUAUAAAGGAACACGUGUGAUAAUGGUAAUAAGGGGCGCACUUUGAUUAGAAUGAAUAGUUAUGGUUGUAAUUCACUUGGAGUAUAUAAAUUAAGCAUUGAAGUAAGAGUAAACCCAUACUUAUGUGCAUGAAGAUAAGAACACUAUGUUAAUUGAGCUUAUUAUGCCCAUAUAAAAGUGGUGUUGGGAUUUUGAAAUAUUUUAAAUGUGAAUAUGUGUUGAGUAGGUGCAGCAGUUUAGAGGGAACUGGUGUUGAUUUUAAUUAAGCGAUUGUGAGAUUUCAAGAAUUGAUUGGACCUAUUAUAGUUCAUGGAUAUAGUGAAUUAAUUCGAGAGUGAGUAUCAAUGAUUACUAUAAUUGAUAUGUGGUCAUGAAGUAAAAAGUUAAUAAACAAAUCUGCUCUAAGGAUGAGCUUGAACCUUGCUAUGCAUAGUAAAGGGGAGCCAAGAGAAUAAAGGACUAGAUGUGGAAUUGGCAGCUUGAGGUUAAAUGACUUGGAAAUGUCGAAUCUAGUCUAAGUGCCAUAUGAAGUUCUAUAAUUGAGACUGAUAUACAAACUACUUGAAAGAUCAAUUUAAAAGUUUAUUCGGUUCAAAGUGUGGCCUAUGAUAUGAAUGAUCAGUCUUGGAGGUGAUCUCCCCAGAGUAAGGAAUUUAGAGAAUGUUGAUGUUUGGAUAUACUCUAAGAGAGAGAACUUCUGCAUCCUAAGUUUAGGACAACUUUGAUCUUAUGAUCGCAAAGGCAAGGUGUAAUAACUAAGUAAAUUAUUCACUUAAUAAAUAUGAUUGGUUAUUGAUGAAUAAAGUCAAGAUCUUAACAUAUAGUGAUGUACAAUUUGAUAAUUAUGUAUUUAAGAGUUAUUUGGAGACAAUUCCUUCAUCAAAUUUGCACUAAAUGCUAUGAUAAAGGCAUAUCAAUGUUAAUAUGGAAAAGGUGAAAUUUGAAAUUUCAGUUACAACUACAAUUUUGAAAGGAUAUAAGUGAUGCUUAUAAUGGAUUUUUAAUUCUAUGAGGAUUGUGAAUAUAAGUGUAAAGCAAGAUGAAGGUAUGAAAUAUCGAUGAGGAAUAUCAAUGUUAAGUGAUGAAGUCUGAAUAACGAAUUACAAGUGUUAUAGGGUGAGAUGGAUUUGAAAAUGUCUAUUUUACCUAUUAUGUGUGAUAAGCACAAGAGGAUAUAAAUGGUUAUGGAAAUUGUGAUGUAAGCUUGAAGGGAAACCAAACGGUUGAGAAUGAUUAGUGUAGCAACCUUAAAUAUAGAUGAAUAACAUUGAUCAAGUAAACUCCAACAGCCACUGUGCCGCGGUGCUAAGAACACUUCAUGUCUAGGACGCAUGAAUAAAAUGAGACAGAUGUGAAGUUGAAUUCACGAGUUGACCUAAAGUCAUUGAACUUGAUUUUAAGUUUUGUUAAUUGGAGUUUUAAGGUUUUGGAAGGUAUCGAUAUGAAUGAGUUAAAAUUGAAAUGGUUAAAGGCGUUCCCUCCGGGGGGGAGCAAAAAGUUUAGGGUUCGAAACUUGGCGAGAAGGUCCUACAGGCCUUGUCGUGUCACCCUUAGGCGUGACAGAAGCAAGUAAGUCAAGUGAUGGGGACCCAGACAUAACAAUACCUCGGAGUGGGCCUCGAAGAGGAUGCCACAUAAAUGACUAAGUUACGGGUUAAGUGAUCACAUGUUGUGAGACAUAUGUUUAAGAUAGAUAUCCCUAAGGAAAUACUCAAGAGAAGUUCUGCCGUGGAUCUUGUAAAAGCAAGCACUAAGUUAUGUGAUUAUAAAAAGGAAGUUAUAAGCUGAGAGUGAUAUUAGUAUUAAUAUUGAAAAAUACUUGAGGAGAAUCUAGUUUUAAGUCUUGCAAUUUCAAGUACAAUUUAUAAAUGGGUUAAGGAAGAAUGAUGUUAUAUUCGUAUGAAAGAGUGAAACUUUAUUAAAGGAAGCGUAUGGAAUAGCAUAAGAGAAUAUAUUAGUUUGACUUACUAUAAGAGGUCAAAAGUUUGAUGGCCAUGAGUGGCUUGUAAGUAACCCAAGAAUGUAUAGGUAAGUGUGCAAGGGAGCUAUGAUCGAUAGAUAAGGGUAAAACUUUAAUGAUGAGACAAUGUUCGCUGCAUUAGACCUUGAACUAUAAAAUAUGGAUAUGUAUCCACCUUAUGAGUACUCUGAUGUGAUAAAUUUGAAAGACUUUUCACAAUGAGAAAACAUUAAAGCUUAAGGAGCAAAUGGCUAUACAGUCAAGUUAGACUCAUGACUGACAUGUCACAUAAGUAUGAGGAUGGGAUACAAGCAUAAGUAUACUUGGAAAUACUGGUUUGAGGCAAUGAUUAUCCUACUGUUUUAUGGACCCGAUGAGGUUCUGGUUUCGACAUAAUUGUAGACGCAAAACAUAAAUUGUGAAAUGUACUUCCCCACAAGUUUCAAUUUAUUUUUAAGUAAUUAUCAAGGCAAAGUACUUGAUAAUGGUAGGCAAAGGUUGAAUUGUGUUUUGAAUGUUUAGAAAAUGAGGGUGAUACAGUUUGAUUAAAUGGCACUAUUAGGUGUAAGGGAAUAGAAAUACGCUAUAGGGACUGUAAAGAUCUACUUAGAAAAGAAAUGAUGAUUCGAAAAUUCAAGUACUCAUGUACAAGUAAGGGUUUGGUGAUGAGAUAUGACAUAGGGUUAAUUACUCCAAUAUGAACUUUGACUAUAAAAAUUUGAUUUAUAUAAUACGUGUUGUUUGGGGAUGAUGCCAACCAGUGGUUAACUCUCAUAUGAGAAUGGAAUAUGUGCAAUCGAAUUUAUGUAAUCGAAAGUGUGAAAAUUUACCUUGAUUGGCAUAAGCCCAUGACUUAAAAUGGAUGAUUAUGGAUUUAAUCUUCUAAGGUAAAAAGGGCUUAAGGAAGUUGAUACCAGAAAUAUCUUGAUAAAUUAUACUUUGAUUUUAAAAUAUUCUUGAGGGGAGAUAAAUAUUUAAUUUCAUUUUCAGAUUGAUAAACUAAUGAGGCCACGAGAUCUAGUGUUUGGAGUAAAAUUUGAGGAAUCACAAGUUAGAUAUAUUUGUAUGUGACGUAUAACAAACAAGUUGGUUAUGACCUAGGAAUUAUAAGGAUUGAUUAAGUCCAUAAGGAUACAUCCAAAAGUAGGUUUAUUUAUUUAAAUAUAUCGUGGUAAUAUAUGAGAUCUACUUAAUAAGUACUCGAUCAUGAAAGUACUGGAGUUUUCUUUUUGAGAAUAUGGUUACUAAUGGUUAUCAAAUUUGAAUUAUUUGUGAUGUUAAAUAUAUAUAUGGACAAAUAAAGAGUGUUUGAUCUUUAUGUAUUAUGAAAUGCUUGAAUAAGAAUUGUAGUGCACGCCCCUUUAGGAGAAAAAUUGAUUUGGAAGCAGUUGUAAUAUGGAAAGAGUAUCCUGAAGUGGGAAUUAUUGAUUGUUGACAAGUGGUAAAGGUAGCGUAACGAUAAGAGAUCCCAUUAAAGGCUGAGUUGCGUGAACAUAAGAGACUUUGGGAGAUAGUUAAGGAAAUGGUAUCAAGGAAAUGUAAUCUAUAGCGCGGUUAAGCCGUGUCCUUCAUGUGAUUGACAAUAUGCUUGCAUACUUGGAAAGCCCCGAAAAAUCGUUAAAAGUCGAUAAUGUACCAAAUGAUACUAUUAAGUUGAAUUAAGCCUCGAACUAGUCCAAAUAGAGAUUUUAAGAUGAAAUGGAGAAUUUUAAAUUCCCAGAAUGACUUAAAAUGGUGAUUUGGAGUUCGAGGACUAAUUUGGAGUCAAAUUGGAAUUUUCAUGACUUAGGGGCAAAAUGGUCAUUUUGUCACCCGAGGUUAAGAUGUAAGUGUUGGAUGAAAUUUUUGACUAAGAUUGAUCAUUUGGAGUAUAAAUUGAGUUUGAGAAGUGAAAAAUUUUAAUUCUGACAUUUUUUUAGCAUAAAGGGCAAAAUAGUCAUUUUGCCACCUCAGGGGCAAAAUUGUAAUUUUACACACCCAACACUUGUCCAGCACAUGGAUUUUAUCCAAUUUUAUCAUGGAUAAUUGAAGAAAUUUAUAUGGUGGAGAGAGAAACCUUAAUAGUUAGGAAAUAAAAAUGGGCCAAUGAAAUGGUGACACAUGGCAAAUUUAUAACCAUUAAAUAUUUGGCUUAUAAAUUAACACAAAUCAGCCCAUUUUCUCUUCAUAUGGCCGGCCAUAGCAAGAACAAAGAGAGGAAAAGAAGAACAAGAACCCUAAGUAGAAAAAUUGAAGAAAAAGUGUGGGAUUUCAAGGGAUUAAGCUAAUAAAGGUAAAAAUCCUUGAUUUUAUCUUGUGAUUUACAUUACCCAUGCUUUCUUUUUCAUUUUCCAUGCUUAGAACUCAAGAUUUCAUGAGGACACCCUUGCUGGUCGAACACCUAGGAGAGAGAAUUUGAUGAUGUUUUGGUUAGAUUCUAAGAUAUUCUAGUGUUUUUAGUUAGUUAGUGAUGUGUAGCAUAAAAAGCCAACAAGAAAAAUUCAUUUUCUCCCAUUACCCAUCAUUGACUGAAUUUUCUAGGGAGGAUAUUGAGGCUGAAAUUGAUGAUAUUUCAUGAUAUUUUGGUGGUGUUUAAUGAUUGGUGAGGCUAGAAAUUUAAUGGGAAAUUUUGGCAUGAAAAUCUGAAUUUUUACCUAAUGUAUAGGCAUGUGCGAUUUAUGGUUCGGACUGAUAAAUUGAAUCGUAUUCACAGUCAUGGAGGUAUUUUAAGUAUAAUUGGAGUGUAGAAAGUAAAAGAAAUAUGAAUUUUUAACAGCCUUGGCGAACUCGAUUGGAUGCCCUACGCAAGGUAUCAUCGAGUAUGAGUUUUGGCAAGAGCCAAAGUUUUAAGAAAUUCGUAAGCCAAGUUUAUUACUCGAUUUAUAUGAAUUAAUUUUAUUUGGUGGAAAUGAGUUUAAAGGUAAUGAAAUUACAGUAUGAUACUUAUUUUAAUUGUCUCCAUUUACUCGACUUUAGAUGGUUUAGAUGGUAUCUGUUUACUCACUGGGAAUUUAUAAUCUCACCACCCUCAUUUUCAACCAUUUCAAGCUUGAGGUAGCCUAUGGAUAGCAAAUAUCAUCAAGGAUUAUAGUCGGCUUUAUUACUCCAAAAACUGUAGGUUUACUGCCUUUGUGCACUUUUGUUCCUUAUGGGCCCACGAGUCACUGUAAAGUAAAUUUCAUAUUCCGGUUAUCUAUAUUAUAGUACGUAUGAAUUUAUUUAGCUUUUACAUUACAAAAAUUAUUUACUGAUGACUCUAUAAAUAUUAUUUUACAAGAAAUUAAAAUAUUUUAUUGAAUAUUUUAUUUUAUUCAAAUAGUUGCAAUAUCAUUUUUAAUAAAUGUUUAGACACCCAACUUUAUUUUAAAUCAUGAAAUAUAUGUUUUCUACUCAUCUACUACAUUUUUAGUUAGGAUCGGAAAAUUUUGAGAAAAAAUGACGAAAACGCCCCUGUGAGGCGAAAAUUAUUUUUCCACGAUUUUGAAGGGGGAAAAGCUUAAAAUUCUUUAAAAACGAGGUUUGGCAAUGAUUACUCACAGGGGAGAUGAGAAAAAUGGUACUAAAGCCUUGCGGGGUUCCGAUUGGCAUUUCGGGUAAUGAAUGUCUAUCGAGACAUCGUGGCGGUUAUCAUGGGCUCGAGGGGAGUACCAGGUCGUGACAAUAUACUUGUGUUAUCUAUAUAUAUAUAUAUGGUUUGAAUUGAU
Molecule: long non-coding RNA, 8441 nt
Filed under: Theobroma cacao (cacao)
Lineage: Eukaryota; Viridiplantae; Streptophyta; Magnoliopsida; Malvales; Malvaceae
Description: long non-coding RNA (TCAC_LNC004643)
Source: RNAcentral